GACGAAGGAUGCAAGCGUUAUCCGGAUUCAUUGGGUUUAAAGGGAGCGUAGGCGGACUUGUAAGUCAGUGGUGAAAUCUUUGGGCUUAACCCAGAAACUGCCAUUGAUACUGCAGGUCUAGAGUACAGUUGCCGUUGGCGGAAUAUGACAUGUAGUGGUGAAAUACUUAGAUAUGUCAUAGAACACCGAUUGCGAAGGCAGCUAACGAAGCUGUAACUGACGCUGAGGCUCGAAAGUGCGGGGAUCAAACAGG
Molecule: ribosomal RNA, 253 nt
Filed under: uncultured bacterium
Lineage: Bacteria
Description: partial 16S ribosomal RNA
Rfam family: Bacterial small subunit ribosomal RNA
Source: RNAcentral